This 253-nucleotide ribosomal RNA is filed under the name uncultured bacterium. RNAcentral describes it as "partial 16S ribosomal RNA". It matches the Rfam family "Bacterial small subunit ribosomal RNA", at positions 524 to 776 of the family's 1533-position model. The record is from RNAcentral.
GACGUAGGAUGCGAGCGUUGUUCGGAAUUAUUGGGCGUAAAGCGUGCGUAGGCGGUCAUUCAAGUCUGGUGUUAAAGCUAGAGGCUCAACCUCUGUGUUGCACUGGAAACUGGAUGACUUGAGUGCGGUAGGGGAAGGUAGAAUUCCGAGUGUAGCGGUGAAAUGCGUAGAUAUUCGGAGGAACACCAGUGGCGAAGGCGGCUCACUGGUCCAUUACUGACGCUGAGGUGCGAAAGCGUGGGGAGCAAACAGG